UACAGAGACUGCAAGCGUUAUUCGGAUUCACUGGGCGUAAAGGGUGCGCAGGCGGUCGGGUGUGUCAGAUGUGAAAUCCCGAGGCUCAACCUCGGAACUGCGUCUGAAACUACUCGACUAGAGUACUGGAGAGGGUAACGGAAUUCACGGUGUGGCAGUGGAAUGCGUAGAUAUCAGGAAGAACACCCGUGGCGAAAGCGGCUCUCUGGAACGGUACUGACGCUGAGACGCGAAAGCGUGGGGAGCGAACAGG
This 253-nucleotide ribosomal RNA is filed under the name uncultured bacterium. RNAcentral's name for it is "partial 16S ribosomal RNA". It matches the Rfam family "Bacterial small subunit ribosomal RNA", at positions 524 to 776 of the family's 1533-position model. The record is from RNAcentral.